ACGCACGCUGGCGGCGUGCUUCACACCUGCAAGUCGAACGGAAAGGCCCUGCUUUUGUGGGGUGCUCGAGUGGCGAACGGGUGAGUAACACGUGGGUAACCUGCCCUUGACUUUGGGAUAACUUCAGGAAACUGGGGCUAAUACCGGAUAGGAGCUCCUGCUGCAUGGUGGGGGUUGGAAAGUUUCGGCGGUUGGGGAUGGACUCGCGGCUUAUCAGCUUGUUGGUGGGGUAGUGGCUUACCAAGGCUUUGACGGGUAGCCGGCCUGAGAGGGUGACCGGCCACAUUGGGACUGAGAUACGGCCCAGACUCCUACGGGAGGCAGCAGUGGGGAAUAUUGCACAAUGGGCGGAAGCCUGAUGCAGCAACGCCGCGUGCGGGAUGACGGCCUUCGGGUUGUAAACCGCUUUCGCCUGUGACGAAGCGUGAGUGACGGUAAUGGGUAAAGAAGCACCGGCUAACUACGUG
RNAcentral lists this ribosomal RNA (467 nucleotides) under uncultured bacterium. RNAcentral describes it as "partial 16S ribosomal RNA". It matches the Rfam family "Bacterial small subunit ribosomal RNA", at positions 29 to 507 of the family's 1533-position model. The record is from RNAcentral.